AUCAGUUAAAGCUUAGAUAUUUGUCUCCAUGUGCAGAAUAAACAAUGAGCACACCAGUGGGAGACAGUGAACAGAACAGCUCCGUCAAACGUGGCUGAUAACACAGCUCUGCUGUUAUCCUGUGGCUGAAGCUGCUCACAGCCCUGACUAUGCAAUGACUGAUCCAGAUGAUAGCCUUUUCAGCAGUGUGGGAACCAAGCAGCUCCAACCAGUGACAGGGAAACCACGUCAGACCAUGAGUGGUACCGUUCCUGCAGUGAAUGUGCUGAGCAGCAGCCUGCCAGUUACUAUCUGCAAACCAGAAAAUCUCACAGUUCUUUAAGAAACUGCCGAAAUAAAACUCUGAUUGAGAAGAACAAAAGGGACAAGAAUAAACAGGAAUGAGAAUUCCUUCAAUGUGUUCUUACAGGACAUGGAACCACAGGCUAAUAGUAUGCAGAGGCAUUUUUUUCUAAAAAAAGAAAGCCUAAUUUGACGAACUUGCAAGUAACUCAAGAGCUGCUGUUCCUGUCCCCUCAGUUGAGUGACUGUGUCAUCAAAGGGCUUUUUGCAUCCAUAGCAUCCAACAAACUAGCUUGAAAGUCUCAGGAAUUUAGAUAGCAUCCUCUUCUUGGGUGUUGAGUGGGGCCUGCUGGAUGUGAUACCACGCUUUGUUCAUUGGUAAGCUAAAGAUCCUCUUCUCUGUGUAAGUGUGUGUGUGAAAGACAGAGUAUCUGUGUCAGAAUAGAUGAUCUCAGCUUAAUUGCAUUGCCUAAUCAUCCCAUACAGGCUUAUUUCAUUUAUUCUGUCUGACACAGUGAGUCUCUAAGAAACACAAACAAUACAAGAAUAAAUAAACCCAAAUAGUAAUCAUUCCUGCCAUCGUAAGUGUUGAAUGUUGCGGACAACGUAGAUGAAAAUGCUGACAGGUGAUGCGGGGAGAAUUGGAAAAGGAAAUACAUCUCCAUUAGUAUCAUAUCUCUAUUGUAAAUGAUUUUGGACAAAGGAAUAUUUAUUCCUUAGAGCUCACAUAUCUGAAAAGCAUUGGAAUUAUGUUUGAAAUGAGGGGAACUAGACAGGCAUUCAGUACUUAGAGUACUUAGAAAAUACUUAGAGUAUUUUCAAAGGAGAGAAUAGUCCUGUCUCUGUCUUGAUGGUGGAGUAUGAUCAGAAAACCCAGGAUUAAUCCCCUGGGGCACUCAGGCUUCUUAUGAUAGAGUGGAUGAGCUAACAACUACCUUCUAAAUUCCUGACUGUGUUACAAACAGAAAACUUACUGAACCUCUGCUCUCAGAAUAGUCCCUUCGCUCACUUUUUCACCCAGGUUGUGUGUAUGAAAUACAUUUGUGCAGGACAGUAAGGACUUCUUGGCAAAUAUGUCACACAUACCUUAGUAUGGAGACUGCUGCCAUUAGAAUGACUUAGGAAACAGAUCUGGACUCCUCACUUAGCACUUACAGGAACUUAAUCUCUCAGUCACAACCCAGAUGUGCAAUUUCUCUUCCUGGGCAGCAGGAGAUCUCAAAUACAUUUGUUUUCAGUGCUGCCCCUCUCUAUGGUUUGCUUGCUUGCACUCGUCACACUCUAAAUGUCUAACUGUGGGCAUUUUUACAAAUGUUCGUGGCUUAUACUUGAACAGCAUCUCAGGGUUUGUUACUGCGUAGAAGAACAGGAUUAAAGUCAGGUGGCAAAGAAUGGGAUUUCCAAAGCCUUCAAAACUGACAUAGACAUGAAUGAGAGGUAGGCUGGGACAAAAGGGGAAGGGAUACCAUAGACUGUCACUUCUAAAAAAGUAUUUAAUGUGGUGGAGUGUGAUGAUGACUCAGAAACAGAACAAAUGCUUUAGAUGCAGGAAAGAAGAAAAGGAUGCACUUGACUGCUUUUUUAAGACUGCUUGCAAGUGAGACAAUAAUUCUUUCCCAACCAAAGUGACAAUCAGCUGAUAUCCUGAAGCAGAAUUGAUUAUUCAGCUUACCAAACACAAUGUAAGUUGUCACCCAAUUACACUAAAUUGUUAUAACAAUGUAUUAUUUUCAUCGCCAUGCUGUAGAGCCUUAGUGACAGAUCAGAAUCCAAUUUUCAGUGCCUCAACACAG
Long non-coding RNA from Gallus gallus (chicken), 2075 nucleotides. RefSeq lists it as uncharacterized. NCBI's taxonomy places the organism in Eukaryota, Metazoa, Chordata, Aves, Galliformes, Phasianidae. The transcript has 3 exons. The record is from RefSeq and is a predicted model, not a curated record.